RNAcentral lists this ribosomal RNA (494 nucleotides) under uncultured bacterium. Its description in RNAcentral is "partial 16S ribosomal RNA". It matches the Rfam family "Bacterial small subunit ribosomal RNA", at positions 28 to 507 of the family's 1533-position model. The record is from RNAcentral.
GACGAACGCUGGCGGCGCGCUUAACACAUGCAAGUCGAACGGAAAGGCCUGCUUUCCCUUGUGGAUUGCGGGUACUCGAGUGGCGAACGGGUGAGUAACACGUGAGUGAUCUGCCCCCAACUUGGGUAUAAGCCUGGGAAACUGGGUCUAAUUCCCGAUAGGACUGCAGGGUGGUGCCUGUGGUGGAAAACGAUUUUCUAGUGGUUGGGGAUGAGCUCGCGGCCUAUCAGCUUGUUGGUGGGGUAAUGGCCUACCAAGGCGGCGACGGGUAGCCGGCCUGGGAGGGUGGACGGCCACAUUGGGACUGAGAUACGGCCCAGACUCCUACGGGAGGCAGCAGUGGGGAAUAUUGCACAAUGGGCGGAAGCCUGAUGCAGCGACGCCGCGUGGGGGAUGACGGCCUUCGGGUUGUAAACUCCUUUCGACCGCGAGGAAGCCACCUGGUUGGAAGGGUGGUGACGGUAGUGGGAGAAGAAGCACCGGCUAACUACGUG